GAUGAACGCUGGCGGCGUGCCUAAUACAUGCAAGUCGAGCGAACAGACGAGGAGCUUGCUCCUCUGACGUUAGCGGCGGACGGGUGAGUAACACGUGGAUAACCUACCUAUAAGACUGGGAUAACUUCGGGAAACCGGAGCUAAUACCGGAUAAUAUAUUGAACCGCAUGGUUCAAUAGUGAAAGACGGUUUUGCUGUCACUUAUAGAUGGAUCCGCGCCGCAUUAGUUAGUUGGUAAGGUAACGGCUUACCAAGGCAACGAUGCGUAGCCGACCUGAGAGGGUGAUCGGCCACACUGGAACUGAGACACGGUCCAGACUCCUACGGGAGGCAGCAGUAGGGAAUCUUCCGCAAAGGGCGAAAGCUUGACGGAGCAACGCCGCGUGAGUGAUGAAGGUCUUCGGAUCGUAAAACUCUGUUAUUAGGGAAGAACAAAUGUGUAAGUAACUAUGCACGUCUUGACGGUACCUAAUCAGAAAGCCACGGCUAACUACGUG
RNAcentral lists this ribosomal RNA (497 nucleotides) under uncultured bacterium. Its description in RNAcentral is "partial 16S ribosomal RNA". It matches the Rfam family "Bacterial small subunit ribosomal RNA", at positions 28 to 507 of the family's 1533-position model. The record is from RNAcentral.